GCAGUUUCGCGGGAAGUCGGCCCGGCGGAGGGCAGAGCCCUGGGCGUGGAGGAAGCUGGAGCCAGGGGAGACUGGCAGGAAAGGAUCACGUGGGCCAGCGAGAGGAGAGCCUGGACAGGGGCCAGCAAAGGGCGAACUUCUGCAGACGAGGACUAUCCAGCCCUAGGGGUACGGGAGAGGGAAAGACGAGGCCGAGAGGGACCCUGACUUUGCAGCAGGGUGUCUGGGCAUUGGUGGCUCCACCUGCAGAACCAAAAGAAUCCACCAGGUCUGAUGGGCAAAGGUUCCUCCUCCCCUGCUGCAGCUAACAUGGAGGACUUGCAUGGAGAUGGUGGAGUCACAGGAUGAACACAGGCUAAGUCACUACCUGGAGGACAGCUGCCUGGACAGUCACCUGGAUCGCAGUGGACUGCAUGAAUGAAAACAAAGUUUCCUUUUUUGGUAUAGGCAGUUUGCCAACCCCCUACAUUCUCAGUCUGAUUUCCUCAUCCCAGUCACCAUGGGAGGCAACUGCUACUGAUCAUUGCACAGACAAGGAAAUUCAGGUCACAGCAAUGAGAGCCAGAGAGUCAAUUCGGCAAGUUUGUUCCCAGGUUCUUGGGGCUUGAAAAGAUCCCUUUAUGGAGUGAAGCCACUUUUUCUCAACGUUCUGAAACUCACGCUGCUCCAGCCUGAGGCUUCCAGAAGUGCCCUACAGGUGCCUGAGUGUGUGGGCCUGCUGCCUGCAAGUGCACCCGGGGAGUGCGGGGUUUGGCGUUUACAGAUGUGACCAGGGGCUAAGAGACUGGGGCGCAGCCUCUCCCCAACACGGACUCUAUUUCCCCACACGCUCACUUCCCCUCCCUCAACUGCAGUCUUCUUUCUCUAUAACUAACACAGGGAUCACUGCCUCUAUUUUCUUAGAGGUAUUGUUCAUCGCUCACCCCUCACGCAAACAGCAACCAAGAAGACUACAUUUCCCAGACUCCUGCGCAGCUUAGUGUGGCCAUCUGGCCAAAUUCUGGUCAGAAGGUGGAAGUGUUAAGUACAGCAUGGAUCUUUCAGGAAGGCUUUCUUUAAGAGAGUUGAAUCAGGUGUGAGGUAUGCUCUUUUUUUCCUGUCUGUUUCUCUUUCCUUCUGCUUCGAGCAUGGACAUAAUGCUGGAGCUUCAGCAGCCAUCUUAGACCAUAAGGUGACUUUCAAGAGGAAAGCCACAUGCUGAAGGAAGAUGGCACAGGAGGAAGAUAGGAGCCUAGGCCACUGAGGACAGAGGGAGCAGUGCUUUAAUACCUACCUCUAGACUUCCUUUAUGUGACAGAGAAGUAAACUGAUCUUCUUUAAGUUAAAGUUAUGUUGAGUUUUUAGUUAUAUGAGAACAAAUCUAGGUCGGGUGCUGUGGCUCACGCCUCUAAUCCCAGCACUUUGGGAGGCUGAGGCAGGCAGAUCACUUGAGGUCAGGAGUUCGAGACCAGCCUGGCCAACAUGGUGAAACCCCAAUCUCAACUCAAAAUUAGCCAGGCAUGGUGGCGUGCGCCAGAAAUCCCACUAUUCGAUAGGAUGAGGCAGGAGAACUGCUUGAACCUGGGAGGUGUAGGUUGCAGUGCGCUGAAAUCACGCCAUUGCACUCCAGCCUGGGUGGCAGAACAAGACUCCAUCUCAAAAAAAAAAAAAAAAAAAGAAAAAAAGAAAGAAAGAAAAGAAAACAAAUCUAACCCUAAAUGUUAUGUUAGGGUAAAAUUGAUUUUUUAAAAAAGUCAUUUUUCAAACUCUGUUAGCACCUUUUUACCCAUGUUAGUCCAUCUGCUAAAAUGAACAUCAGUAUUUGAAAAGGUGUACAUCAAGCUUGUCCAACCCGUGGCCCACAGGCUGCAUGUGGCCCAGGAUGGCUUUGAAUGUGGCCUAACACAAAUUCGUGAACUUUCUUAAAACAUUAUGAGAUUUUGUGUGUGUGUGUGUGUGUGUGUGUGUGUGUGUGUGUUAGCUCAUCAGCUAUCAUAGUGUUAGAGUAUUUUAUGUGUGGCCCAAGACAAUUCUUCUUCUUUCAAUGUGACCCAGGGAAACCAAAAGGUUGGAUACCCCUGGACUGUACCUAAUUAUUUCUUGUGCUCAGCAAGGUUAAGCAACUUGCCUAAAGUCACCCAG
Molecule: long non-coding RNA, 2121 nt
Filed under: Homo sapiens (human)
Lineage: Eukaryota; Metazoa; Chordata; Mammalia; Primates; Hominidae
Description: HSALNT0089505
Source: RNAcentral